AACAAAAACAUGUCCUUUUGUUUAUAAUUUAAGGUUUAACCUGCCCACUGAAUAAUAUUUUAAAUGGCCGCAGUAAUUUGACUGUGCAAAGGUAGCAUAAUCAUUAGUUUUUUAAUUAAAAGCUUGUAUGAAAGGUUGGACGAGGUAAAUUCUGUCUUUAUUUAAUUUAAAUUAGAAUUUAAUUUUUAAGUUAAAAAGCUUAAAUAUAUUUAAAAGACGAGAAGACCCUAUAGAUCUUAAUAUUAAUUAUAAUAAAUUUAAUUAAGAAUAAUUAAUUUUUUAUUAUAAAAAAUAUUUUAUUGGGGUAAUAAAAAGAUUAAAUAAAUUCUUUUUUUAUUUUUACAUAGAUAAAUGAAUAUUUGAUCCAAUUUUAUUGAUUAAAAGAUUAAGUUACCUUAGGGAUAACAGCGUAAUUUUUUUAGAGAGUUCAUAUCGAUAAAAAAGUUUGCGACCUCGAUGUUG
RNAcentral lists this ribosomal RNA (462 nucleotides) under Rhantaticus congestus. RNAcentral's name for it is "partial 16S ribosomal RNA". The record is from RNAcentral. Lineage: Eukaryota; Metazoa; Arthropoda; Insecta; Coleoptera; Dytiscidae.